RNAcentral lists this non-coding RNA (340 nucleotides) under Enterococcus sp. RNAcentral's name for it is "T-box sequence". The stretch from base 1 to 226 matches the Rfam family "T-box leader". Rfam says of the family: Uncharged tRNA acts as the effector for transcription antitermination of genes in the T-box leader family. T-boxes are found upstream of many aminoacyl-tRNA synthetase genes and some amino acid biosynthetic genes usually in Gram-positive bacteria. The anticodon of a specific tRNA base pairs to a specifier sequence within the T-box motif, and the NCCA acceptor tail of the tRNA base pairs to a conserved bulge in the T-box antiterminator hairpin. Lineage: Bacteria; Bacillati; Bacillota; Bacilli; Lactobacillales; Enterococcaceae. The record is from RNAcentral.
CAAACGACAAUGAAAAGAAGAGUAGCAGUUCAUUUGUUCUCAGAGAGUCUCUGGUUGGUGAGAAGAGACAGCAAUGAUUUGUGAACCACAUCUUUGAGUCGAUCAGCUGAAAUAAGUAGGCUGAUCCGGGAGAGCCCGUUAGCGCAGAGGUCAGAUUGACCAGUUGAGAUCGUUCGUUGUGAGACGACGAUGAAAAAAGGUGGAACCACGUAAUUACGUCCUUUAGCCCUAGCGGCUAAAGGACUUUUUUUAUUUCACUGAUUGGACACUGACCCAAAGAGGUUCCUUUUGCGAGAAAGGAACAAAGAUGAGGUGGAACCACGUAUAUAACGUCCUCUGG